CCAGAGAACUUAGCAGAGAUGCUUUGGUGCCUUCGGGAACUCUGAGACAGGUGCUGCAUGGCUGUCGUCAGCUCGUGUUGUGAAAUGUUGGGUUAAGUCCCGCAACGAGCGCAACCCUUAUCCUUUGUUGCCAGCGGUCCGGCCGGGAACUCAAAGGAGACUGCCAGUGAUAAACUGGAGGAAGGUGGGGAUGACGUCAAGUCAUCAUGGCCCUUACGAGUAGGGCUACACACGUGCUACAAUGGCGCAUACAAAGAGAAGCGACCUCGCGAGAGCAAGCGGACCUCAUAAAGUGCGUCGUAGUCCGGAUUGGAGUCUGCAACUCGACUCCAUGAAGUCGGAAUCGCUAGUAAUCGUGGAUCAGAAUGCCACGGUGAAUACGUUCCCGGGCCUUGUACACACCGCCCGUCACACCAUGGGGGUGGGUUGCAAAAGAAGUAGGUAGCUUAACCUUCGGGAGGGCGCUUACCACUUUGUGAUUCAUGACUGGGGUGAAGUCGUAACAAGGUAAGCGUAGUGCU
RNAcentral lists this ribosomal RNA (521 nucleotides) under uncultured bacterium. Its description in RNAcentral is "bacterial SSU rRNA". It matches the Rfam family "Bacterial small subunit ribosomal RNA", at positions 988 to 1509 of the family's 1533-position model. The record is from RNAcentral.